Coffea arabica (coffee) is the source of this 107-nucleotide small nucleolar RNA. The record is from RefSeq and is a predicted model, not a curated record. NCBI's taxonomy places the organism in Eukaryota, Viridiplantae, Streptophyta, Magnoliopsida, Gentianales, Rubiaceae.
AUUUGGUGUUGGGGGCAAUUUGUACACAACUUUUUGAAUCUCUCCUAAUAUUCAUAAAGGGAUUCCCCAGGAUGCUACUUAAUACCACAGAUCUCUUUUUGCAGACU